UAAAACUUUCAACAAUGGAUCUCUUGGUUCCGGCAUCGAUGAAGAACGCAGCGAAAUGCGAUAACUAAUGUGAAUUGCAGAAUUCAGUGAAUCAUCGAGUCUUUGAACGCACAUUGCGCCCCCUGGUAUUCCGGGGGGCAUGCCUGUCCGAGCGUCAUU
Molecule: ribosomal RNA, 159 nt
Filed under: Aspergillus niger
Lineage: Eukaryota; Fungi; Ascomycota; Eurotiomycetes; Eurotiales; Aspergillaceae
Description: 5.8S ribosomal RNA
Rfam family: 5.8S ribosomal RNA
About the family: 5.8S ribosomal RNA (5.8S rRNA) is a component of the large subunit of the eukaryotic ribosome. It is transcribed by RNA polymerase I as part of the 45S precursor that also contains 18S and 28S rRNA. Functionally, it is thought that 5.8S rRNA may be involved in ribosome translocation.
Source: RNAcentral